RNAcentral lists this ribosomal RNA (253 nucleotides) under uncultured bacterium. RNAcentral's name for it is "partial 16S ribosomal RNA". It matches the Rfam family "Bacterial small subunit ribosomal RNA", at positions 524 to 776 of the family's 1533-position model. The record is from RNAcentral.
GACAGAGGCCUCGAGCGUUAGGCGGAAUCACUGGGCUUAAAGCGUGUGUAGGCGGGCCCGUAAGUACCUUGUGAAAUCCCCCGGCUCACCCGGGGAACGGCUGGGUAUACUGCGGGUCUUGGGCCGACUAGGGGCAGCCGGAACAAGCGGUGGAGCGGUGAAAUGCGUAGAUAUCGCUUGGAACGCCGAAGGUGAAAACAGGCUGCUGGGGUCGCGCCGACGCUGAGACACGAAAGCCAGGGGAGCAAACGGG